This 760-nucleotide ribosomal RNA is filed under the name Alkalicoccobacillus gibsonii. Its description in RNAcentral is "bacterial SSU rRNA". It matches the Rfam family "Bacterial small subunit ribosomal RNA", at positions 8 to 747 of the family's 1533-position model. Lineage: Bacteria; Bacillati; Bacillota; Bacilli; Caryophanales; Bacillaceae. The record is from RNAcentral.
AGAGUUUGAUCCUGGCUCAGGACGAACGCUGGCGGCGUGCCUAAUACAUGCAAGUCGAGCGGACGUUUUUGAAGCUUGCUUCAAAAACGUUAGCGGCGGACGGGUGAGUAACACGUGGGCAACCUACCUUAUCGACUGGGAUAACUCCGGGAAACCGGGGCUAAUACCGGAUAACAUCUAGCACCUCCUGGUGCCGGAUUAAAAGAGGGCUUCUUGCUCUCACGAUGAGAUGGGCCCGCGGCGCAUUAGCUAGUUGGAGAGGUAACGGCUCCCCAAGGCGACGAUGCGUAGCCGACCUGAGAGGGUGAUCGGCCACACUGGGACUGAGACACGGCCCAGACUCCUACGGGAGGCAGCAGUAGGGAAUCUUCCGCAAUGGACGAAAGUCUGACGGAGCAACGCCGCGUGAGUGAUGAAGGGUUUCGGCUCGUAAAGCUCUGUUAUGAGGGAAGAACACGUACCGUUCGAAUAGGGCGGUACCUUGACGGUACCUCAUCAGAAAGCCACGGCUAACUACGUGCCAGCAGCCGCGGUAAUACGUAGGUGGCAAGCGUUGUCCGGAAUUAUUGGGCGUAAAGCGCGCGCAGGCGGCCUUUUAAGUCUGAUGUGAAAUCUUGCGGCUCAACCGCAAGCGGCCAUUGGAAACUGGGAGGCUUGAGUACAGAAGAGGAGAGUGGAAUUCCACGUGUAGCGGUGAAAUGCGUAGAUAUGUGGAGGAACACCAGUGGCGAAGGCGACUCUCUGGUCUGUAACUGACGCU